CUUGUAUAACUGUAAUGUGAUUAAUAGUAAAAUUAGGAAUUUUAUCUUUUGUUUCAUAUAAUUUAAAUAAUUCUUUCAAUUUAAAAGCAUAGGUAUUUUUCAUUAAAUAAAGCAGUUAUUAUUAUUAAAGAUUUUUAAAGCAGCUAAGGGAGAUUACUCAUUGUUAUGCAUUCCUUAUAGGACUGUCACAGCUACAUGUGUAACAGCUAGUAUAUAAUCCAGACCUUUUGACCAUAUUAAAGGGUCUACUAUAUUAUACUACUCUACUGUUACCAUGGUUACUAUUAUUUAAUAAAAUACAACAAUGAA
Molecule: long non-coding RNA, 309 nt
Organism: Saccostrea echinata
Lineage: Eukaryota; Metazoa; Mollusca; Bivalvia; Ostreida; Ostreidae
Exons: 2
Source: RefSeq, a predicted model, not a curated record